GACGAACGCUGGCGGCGUGCCUAAUACAUGCAAGUAGAACGCACAGUUUAUACCGUAGCUUGCUACACCAUAUACUGUGAGUUGCGAACGGGUGAGUAACGCGUAGGUAACCUGCCUGGUAGCGGGGGAUAACUAUUGGAAACGAUAGCUAAUACCGCAUAAUAUUAAUUAUUGCAUGAUAAUUAAUUGAAAGUUGCAAUUGCACCACUACCAGAUGGACCUGCGUUGUAUUAGCUAGUAGGUGAGGUAACGGCUCACCUAGCGGACGAUACAUAGCCGACCCGCGAGGGGGCGAUGCCAAACUGGGAUGGGGAGACGGCCAGGACCACUACGGGAGGGAGAAGUAGGGGAUUCCCGGCGAUGGAAGAAAGUCGGACCGAGCGACGCCGCGUGAGUGAAGAAGGUAUUCGGAUCGCAAAGCUCUGUUGGAAGAGAAGAUCGGGUGUGAGUGUGGAAAGUGCACACUGUGACGGUAUCUUAACAGAAAGCGACGGCUAACUACGUG
Molecule: ribosomal RNA, 505 nt
Filed under: uncultured bacterium
Lineage: Bacteria
Description: partial 16S ribosomal RNA
Rfam family: Bacterial small subunit ribosomal RNA
Source: RNAcentral